Molecule: transfer RNA, 80 nt
Organism: Ipomoea nil (Japanese morning glory)
Lineage: Eukaryota; Viridiplantae; Streptophyta; Magnoliopsida; Solanales; Convolvulaceae
Rfam family: tRNA
About the family: Transfer RNA (tRNA) molecules are approximately 80 nucleotides in length. Their secondary structure includes four short double-helical elements and three loops (D, anti-codon, and T loops). Further hydrogen bonds mediate the characteristic L-shaped molecular structure. tRNAs have two regions of fundamental functional importance: the anti-codon, which is responsible for specific mRNA codon recognition, and the 3' end, to which the tRNAs corresponding amino acid is attached (by aminoacyl-tRNA synthetases). tRNAs cope with the degeneracy of the genetic code in two manners: having more than one tRNA (with a specific anti-codon) for a particular amino acid; and 'wobble' base-pairing, i.e. permitting non-standard base-pairing at the 3rd anti-codon position.
Source: Rfam
GAUGGUCUGGCCGAGAGCUCUAAGGCGCCAGAUUUAGGCUCUGGUCCGAAAGGGCGUGGGUUCAAAUCCCACAAUGUUUA